AAACCUAAAGAAAAAAUACUUGAAGAUAAAAGCCUAUAUAAUUGUUUUGUUUGUUUGUUUGUUUUGGAAACAAGGUCUCACUCUGUCACCCAGGCUGGAGUGCAGUGAUAUGAUCAUGGCUUACUGCAGUCUCAAAUGCCAUUGAUAGAUCAUUAGAGAGAUUAACCAAGAAAAGAAGAGACAAGAUCCAAAUAAGCUCAAUUAGAAACAAAAUGGGAGCUAUUGCAACCAAUACCACACAAUACAAAAGAUUAUUUCAACUUUGCAGCAAUUUGGAUGGAGCUGGAGGCCAUUAUUCUAAGUGAAGUAACUCAGGAAUGGAAAAACAAAUUUUGUAUUUCUCACUUAUAAGUGGGAUCUAAGCUAUGAGGAUACAGAGGCAUAAGAAUGAUACAAUGGGUUUGGGGCACUUGGGGGAAGGGUGGAAGGUGGUGAGCAUUAAAAACUAUAUAUUUGGUGCAGUGUACACUAUUCAGGUGACAGGUGCACCAAAAUCUCAGAAAUCACCACUAAAAAACUUAUUCAUGUAACCCAAAAACACCUGUUCCCCAAAAGCUAUUGAAAAAAAAAAUAACGUGUCCAUGAUAGUAGAGCUUCCAGUAAUUGAUUUAGUGCUUCUGUCUUCAAGAAGAAAACAAAAAAGGAAUGCCAGAUAUUAAAUGAAAGUCCAAGUAUAAAUUUUGGAACCCGAUGAAAACAAAUAUAAAGAAAAUGAAGAUGCCCCCCGACACACACUCACACACACACACACAGUGAUGAAGAAGAAGACGGAGAAGGAGAAGGAAAAAGGAAGACUAUAAACAAACUAUAGAAGACAGAAACUGUUUUCAUUAAUAUAUAAUAUUCUAAGAUAUAUUAAAUAAGUUACUGAAUCUGUUUUAAAAAAAGAUGUGAUUUAAAAGGAACAAUCAGAGAAGGAGAAGGUAUUUAUAAGCCUCAAAAGCUGAAUAAAUGAUUUAGAAGGAAAAGUCAAGAAUACUUUCCGAAAUAAAAAUAUGAAAACUUCUAAAACAAACAGUAAAAAUCCCAGUCAAAUAAUUUAAUUAUAUGAUUACUUGAUAUUUAUAAAAGUAAAAUCUAGGACGAGCAUAUGGGGACAGACACCACAUCCAGCCAUUUCUUAAUAUACUUUCAGAACUCCAUUUCAGGCAGAAAAAUCCAAAAUCUACCAGAGGAAAAAUUAUAGAUAACGUGGAAAACUUACAAAGAUUAAGGUACAUAUUGUGAUCAGACUUCUCGAUAGUUGAAGAGUAUAUAAAUACCUUCAACAUUUUGUAAAGACAAUUAUUUUCAAAUUUAACUUUUAUACUUGGAAAACCUGUCUCUUCAAUGUUAAGCCAUCACAUUCUAGAUAUGUAAAAAUACAAGAAAUGUAUCUCUAAGUAGUCUUUCUCCAUGAUGUAUCAGAAGAGCCCCACUCUAAGGAAACGGCAACCUAAAAAUAAAAGAGGCAAACAGAAUAGAAGACAAGUUAUCAAAAUUAAUACAAUAGUUACAAGAUCUGAUAAGAGGAAGUUUCAUGUGGAAUAUCUCUAUAAAGGAAAAGAAAGAAUCUGAAAGAUUUUCUGAUAAGUCUAAUAAUGUCAAAAGUAAUCAGCAGAGUUUUCAAAGUUUAGUUUGAGAAUUUUGAAGGUCGUAAAGAGAAGUAUGUAGAAAAUGAUUUAAACAAAGGAAUACAUGUACCAUGUCCAGUGGGAAAGUUACAGAAUGAUAAACCAAUCAUUAUCUUUCGAAUGAAUCAGCAGUAAAUAAAUUAAUUUAGCCAAAAUUUGUGAUUCAUGCAUAUUGAGGAGUUAAAGAGAUGGUAAUGUGUAGGCUGAGGCAGAUGUAUAAAAAUUGCUAUAUACAGUUCGGGUAUAUAGUAAUAUAUACUAUAUAUCAGAAGAUCCUGGCUAACAUGGUGAAACCUCAUCUCUACUAAAAAAUACAAAAAAUAUUAGCCGGGCAUGGUGGCAGGUGCCUGUAGUCCCAGCUACUCGGGAAGCUGAGGCAGCAGAAUGGCAUGAACCUGGAAGGCGGAGCUUGAAGUGAGCCGAGAUCGCGCCACUGCACUCCAACCUGGGCGACAGAGCAAGACUCCAUCUCAAAAACAAGCAAACAAAAAAAUUACUAUGUACUUACAUUCUGUAAUAGAAAGUAAAUACAUAUAUUUAAAAUUAUAAAAGAAAAAUAGCAGUAAAAGUUUAUUAUAUUAAGAUGUGGUUGCAAAUAGUAGGGAAAAAAAGUAGUACUAUAUGUGUGUUUCUUUGGAAAGAUGCUCUGAUGGGCAGGAAGGAGAUAGUAGUGUCUGCAAUUUUUCCUUAUGUACCAAACAAUGCCAAGCAACCUGCAAGAUUAUGGGCAUAUUUUGAAAAAUAAAGUAUUAACAAAUAAAUGACUCCUCUUUUUGCUUAGGAUUGUCUUGACUUUAUGGGCUCUGUUUUGGUUCCAUAUGAAAUUUAAAGGAGUUAUUUCUAAUUCUGUGAAGAAAGUCAAUAGUAGCUUAAUGGGAAUAGCAUUGAAUCUAUCAAUUACUUUGGGCAAUAUGGCCAUUUUCAUGACAUUGAUUCUUCCUAUCCAUGAGCACGGAAUGUUUUUCCAUUGAUUGUGUCCUCUCUUAUUGCCACGAGUAGUGGUUUGUAGUUGUCCUUGAAGAGGUCCUUCACGUCCCUUGUAAGUUGUAUUUCUAGGUAUUUUAUUCUCUUUGUAGCAAUUGUGAAUGGGAGUCCAAGCACGAUUUGGCCCUCUGGUUGUCUAUUGUUGGUGUAUAGGAAUGCUUGUAAUUUUUGCAUAUUGAUUUUGUAUCCCGAGAUUUUGCUGAAGUUGCUUAUCAGCUUAAGGAGUUUUGGGGCUGAGAUGAUGGGGUUUUAUAAAUACACAAUCAUGUCAUCUACAAACACAGAUGAUUUGACUUUCUCUUUUCCUAUUUGAAUACCCUUUAUUUCUUUCUCUUACCUGAUGGCCCUGGUCAGAACUUCCAAUAGUGUGUUGAACAGGAGUGGUGAGAGAGGACAUCAUUGUCUUGUGCCAGUUUUCAAACGGAAUGCCUCCAGCUUUUCACAUUCAGUAUGACAUUGGCUAUGGGCUUCUCAUAAAUAGCUCUUAUUAUUUUGAGAUACAUUCCAUCAAUUCCUAGUUUAUUGAGAGGUUUUAGCGUGGAAGGAUGUUAAA
RNAcentral lists this long non-coding RNA (3150 nucleotides) under Homo sapiens (human). RNAcentral describes it as "non-protein coding lnc-TECRL-13:1". The record is from RNAcentral. Lineage: Eukaryota; Metazoa; Chordata; Mammalia; Primates; Hominidae.